GAUGAACGCUGGCGGCGUGCCUAAUACAUGCAAGUCGAGCGAACAGAUGAGGAGCUUGCUCCUCUGACGUUAGCGGCGGACGGGUGAGUAACACGUGGAUAACCUACCUAUAAGACUGGGAUAACUUCGGGAAACCGGAGCUAAUACCGGAUAAUAUAUUGAACCGCAUGGUUCAAUAGUGAAAGACGGUUUUGCUGUCACUUAUAGAUGGAUCCGCGCCGCAUUAGCUAGUUGGUAAGGUAACGGCUUACCAAGGCAACGAUGCGUAGCCGACCUGAGAGGGGGAUCGGCCGCACUGGAACUGAGACACGGUCCAGACUCCUACGGGAGGCAGCAGUAGGGAAUCUUCCGCAAUGGGCGAAAGCCUGACGGAGCAACGCCGCGUGAGUGAUGAAGGUCUUCGGAUCGUAAAACUCUGUUAUUAGGGAAGAACAAAUGUGUAAGUAACUAUGCACGUCUUGACGGUACCUAAUCAGAAAGCCACGGCUAACUACGUG
This 497-nucleotide ribosomal RNA is filed under the name uncultured bacterium. RNAcentral describes it as "partial 16S ribosomal RNA". It matches the Rfam family "Bacterial small subunit ribosomal RNA", at positions 28 to 507 of the family's 1533-position model. The record is from RNAcentral.